This 238-nucleotide ribosomal RNA is filed under the name uncultured bacterium. RNAcentral describes it as "partial 16S ribosomal RNA". It matches the Rfam family "Bacterial small subunit ribosomal RNA", at positions 102 to 334 of the family's 1533-position model. The record is from RNAcentral.
CCACGGGUGAGUAACACGUAUCCAACCUGCCGUCUACUCUUGGCCAGCCUUCUGAAAGGAAGGAAUUAAUCCAGGAUGGCAUCAUGAGUUCACAUGUCCGCAUGAUUAAAGGUAUUUUCCGGUAGACGAUGGGGAUGCGUUCCAUUAGAUAGUAGGCGGGGUAACGGCCCACCUAGUCAACGAUGGAUAGGGGUUCUGAGAGGAAGGUCCCCCACAUUGGAACUGAGACACGGCCCAA